Molecule: ribosomal RNA, 272 nt
Filed under: uncultured bacterium
Lineage: Bacteria
Description: partial 16S ribosomal RNA
Rfam family: Bacterial small subunit ribosomal RNA
Source: RNAcentral
UGCGGAGGGUGCAAGCGUUAUCCGGAUUUAUUGGGUUUAAAGGGUCCGUAGGCGGACUUAUAAGUCAGUGGUGAAAGCCUGUCGCUUAACGAUAGAACUGCCAUUGAUACUGUAAGUCUUGAGUAUAUUUGAGGUAGCUGGAAUAAGUAGUGUAGCGGUGAAAUGCAUAGAUAUUACUUAGAACACCAAUUGCGAAGGCAGGUUACCAAGAUAUAACUGACGCUGAGGGACGAAAGCGUGGGGAGCGAACAGGAUUAAUACCCCGUGUCAUC